Molecule: long non-coding RNA, 1430 nt
Organism: Cloeon dipterum
Lineage: Eukaryota; Metazoa; Arthropoda; Insecta; Ephemeroptera; Baetidae
Exons: 4
Source: RefSeq, a predicted model, not a curated record
GCUUCUUAAAUUUUAAUAAGAAGAGUACUCUGAAAAAAGUCGAAAAUAUAAUCGGAAGUGGUGCAAAGUUAGCAUUUUCAUGCUGGCACCUUUUUGAGUGUAGCGCGCCGUUAGCGUGGUCACGUGACAGAAAUAUGGCCGCCGUGCAUGACAACACAUGGAACUAACCGCAACAGUGCUACUAUGUACGCAAACCAUCGUUCGAAGUUAUAAAUCGUGAUAGAACGUUCAUCUUUCCUAUUAAUUACAAGAUAAUUAAUUUAUCUCGUGUUCAACAGACGGUAAAAACAAAAGGAAUGCUGGCAUACGAAGCAUUAUGUGUUAUAUUAUAAUACGCUGGCGAAUGGCGAAGCUUGGUCCUCGCCAAAUUUUCUGAAAAGACGUGUGUGAAAGAGACGCAGAGCAUAUUUGGCAAAUUUCUGCUGCCAGUUGAGUGUGCCGCAUGAAACACAGAUCAAAAAAAACCGUAGAAAAGCGGAUGACAUGCUUCGCCACCAGUUACAAGAAGAAGAAAGGAGUUGAGCAAGGCAGGGUUUCAGUUAUCAUGUACUGUUCUAAUUUUUCAGGGGUGAGUGAAGGAGCAGAGAGUGUUUGUGGAAUUUCUGAUGCCAGUGCCUUUUGCCACAUGAAAAGAGAUCAACAGAAAGUGUCGAAAAGUGGAUGACAUGCUUCGCCACCAGUUACUAGAAGAAGGAAGGAGGGUGAGUGAAGGAGCAGAGAGUGUUUGUGGAAUUUCUGAUGCCAGUGCCUUUUGCCACAUGAAAAGAGAUCAACAGAAAGUGUCGAAAAGUGGAUGACAUGCUUCGCCACCAGUUACUAGAAGAAGGAAGGAGUUGAGCAAGGCAGGGUUUCAGUUAUCAUGUACUGUUCUAAUUUUUCAGAGGUGAGUGAAGGAGCAGAGAGUGUUUGUGGAAUUUCUGAUGCCAGUGCCUUUUGCCACAUGAAAAGAGAUCAACAGAAAGUGUCGAAAAGUGGAUGACAUGCUUCGCCACCAGUUACUAGAAGAAGGAAGGAGUUGAGCAAGGCAGGGUUUCAGUUAUCAUGUACUGUUCUAAUUUUUCAGGGGUGAGUGAAGGAGCAGAGAGUGUUUGUGGAAUUUCUGAUGCCAGUGCCUUUUGCCACAUGAAAAGAGAUCAACAGAAAGUGUCGAAAAGUGGAUGACAUGCUUCGCCACCAGUUACUAGAAGAAGGAAGGAGUUGAGCAAGGCAGGGUUUCAGUUAUCAUGUACUGUUCUAAUUUUUCAGGGGUGAGUGAAGGAGCAGAGAGUGUUUGUGGAAUUUCUGAUGCCAGUGCCUUUUGCCACAUGAAAAGAGAUCAACAGAAAGUGUCGAAAAGUGGAUGACAUGCUUCGCCACCAGUUACUAGAAGAAGGAAGGAGGGUGAGUGAAGGAGCAGAGAGUGUUUGUGGAAUUUCUGAUGCCAGUGCCUU